CUCUCUUACAGUAGACAUUGAGUACUUCAAAGAAGCACUUUCCAAAGUAGAUUCCCAGAUGAAAAAUCUUCCUGCAACAGCUCAGGUAGCUUCUCAACAAGGCACAUAUCUUACUGACUGUUUCAAUCGCAUGGAGUUGUGAGAGAAGUAUCCUGAAGGCACUCUUAGGUUCAGGGGUACAGGACGCCAUCGGUUUCAUCCCUUCAGUGAAAGGUACAAGCAUUCUGGGCAAUUUUCUCCUCUGGGAGGAGAAAAGACUACUGCUCAGCUUCCAGGAGAUUGGAUUUCAAUUGGCCAUAGUAGCCGGUGGCUCUGG
Lotus japonicus is the source of this 316-nucleotide long non-coding RNA. RefSeq lists it as uncharacterized. Lineage: Eukaryota; Viridiplantae; Streptophyta; Magnoliopsida; Fabales; Fabaceae. The transcript is spliced from 3 exons. The record is from RefSeq and is a predicted model, not a curated record.